RNAcentral lists this unclassified non-coding RNA (233 nucleotides) under uncultured fungus. RNAcentral's name for it is "sequence contains ITS1, 5.8S rRNA gene". The stretch from base 185 to 233 matches the Rfam family "5.8S ribosomal RNA", at positions 1 to 49 of the family's 154-position model. Lineage: Eukaryota; Fungi. The record is from RNAcentral.
UUUCCGUAGGUGAACCUGCGGAAGGAUCAUUAUUGUUCUGUUGCCAGCGCUUGAUUGCGCGGCGACUCCUUCUACACAUGUUUAUUAUUAUUGAAUUGAAGAGAGAACUCCGUUUCUCUCUUUCAUAAACUCAAGAUUUAAUUCUUCUUUGAACUAUUGUCAGAAUAAAUUAACAAAUAUUCAAAACUUUCAACAACGGAUCUCUUGGUUCUCGCAUCGAUGAAGAACGCAGC